Molecule: ribosomal RNA, 468 nt
Filed under: uncultured bacterium
Lineage: Bacteria
Description: partial 16S ribosomal RNA
Rfam family: Bacterial small subunit ribosomal RNA
Source: RNAcentral
GACGAACGCUGGCGGCGUGCUUAACACAUGCAAGUCGAACGGAAAGGCCCUGCUUUUGUGGGGUGCUCGAGUGGCGAACGGGUGAGUAACACGUGAGUAACCUGCCCUUGACUUUGGGAUAACUUCAGGAAACUGGGGCUAAUACCGGAUAGGAGCUCCUGCUGCAUGGUGGGGGUUGGAAAGUUUCGGCGGUUGGGGAUGGACUCGCGGCUUAUCAGCUUGUUGGUGGGGUAGUGGCUUACCAAGGCUUUGACGGGUAGCCGGCCUGAGAGGGUGACCGGCCACAUUGGGACUGAGAUACGGCCCAGACGCCUACGGGAGGCAGUAGUGGGGAAUAUUGCACAAUGGGCGGAAGCCUGAUGCAGCAACGCCGCGUGCGGGAUGACGGCCUUCGGGUUGUAAACCGCUUUCGCCUGUGACGAAGCGUGAGUGACGGUAAUGGGUAAAGAAGCACCGGCUAACUACGUG